Long non-coding RNA from Venturia canescens, 478 nucleotides. RefSeq lists it as uncharacterized. The record is from RefSeq and is a predicted model, not a curated record. The transcript is spliced from 2 exons. Lineage: Eukaryota; Metazoa; Arthropoda; Insecta; Hymenoptera; Ichneumonidae.
UGGUACUGACCUCCAUCCAUGGUCGUUCCAUUGACUAUUUUGCUCCAAUUUCCACAAUGCUUUGUGUAUUCGCUGCAAGCAGCAAUUUUGAAUUGAUAAGUGGUCGCUGGAUCAAGAUCGACAAAUACGUAAACAUUGAAGAUCUGGUGGCGGUACAUUCCAACCGAUGGUAAUUGAACGAUCGGUGAAACCGUUUACGGAAACUGUCGGAAUGAAAACAGGAUCUGAAAAACAAAUUUUGUUGAAUUUGAUGAACGAAAGUUUGUUUAAUGUUUUAAGCAUUCAAUGCGCACACAAAUUUAGAAUACUUAUUAAUUAUCCGGCUCAAGACAAGAGCGAAGAUGAAAUUGCCAAUAUGUAUUGGAACAAUGAAAUUUCAAAAUUGAUUUGUCAAUCCAUUGACUUUUUUGAAAAGCGAAAUUCUUUUGUAAUCAUGUAUUUGGAUUCCAAAACAAUUUUAUUAAAAUUCUAGCCUGAA